AGAGUGUUCCAGUCAAAGGCAAGUCAAGGUGGAGAUUUGUGGGUUUAUGACUCACCUUUACCGUUAUCUUGGCAUAAAUGGGAGGUUAAUUGCCACAAUCAAUUGCAAUCAAUAGGAGGUUAAUUGCCGCAAUCAAUUGCAAUCAAUGGGAGGUUAAUUGCCGCAAUCAAUUACAAUCAAUGGGAGGUUAAUUACCAUUAAUUGUAUUUAUUAUUGUUGUCUCCUAGAACCACUAUAUAUAGUGGCUUCCUUCAAGCAAUGUAACACACUACAAACAAGCAACUCACACUUGCUUCCUCUCUCUUCUCAUAUACACUCUAUUUUUGUUCUUGGGUGUAAGUGUUUAACCCAUAUAGAGAGGAUUUGUUUUAGGGCUCUUUAUCUAUUAGUC
RNAcentral lists this long non-coding RNA (391 nucleotides) under Phaseolus vulgaris (common bean). RNAcentral's name for it is "long non-coding RNA (PVUL_LNC000335)". Lineage: Eukaryota; Viridiplantae; Streptophyta; Magnoliopsida; Fabales; Fabaceae. The record is from RNAcentral.